UCGGCAAUGGAUAUCUUGGCUCUUGCAUCGAUGAAGAGCGCAGCGAAAUGCGAUACGUGGUGCGAAUUGCAGAAUCCCGUGAACCAUCGAGUUUUUGAACGCAAGUUGCGCCCGAGGCCAUCUGGCCGAGGGCACGUCCGCCUGGGCGUCAAG
This 153-nucleotide ribosomal RNA is filed under the name Habenaria aitchisonii. RNAcentral's name for it is "5.8S ribosomal RNA". It matches the Rfam family "5.8S ribosomal RNA". Rfam says of the family: 5.8S ribosomal RNA (5.8S rRNA) is a component of the large subunit of the eukaryotic ribosome. Lineage: Eukaryota; Viridiplantae; Streptophyta; Magnoliopsida; Asparagales; Orchidaceae. The record is from RNAcentral.